UUUGACUACUUGAUACUUGUGAAAGGGUUUUCCAAGUCGCAUGUUUUUUCGAAAUGCAAUUCAAAACACUCCUCUUGUUUCUAAUUACAACAGUUUGUCAAGCUGAUCAAGAAAAUGAAGCGAGAGAUUUAUCUACUGGAGCAAAUGAUAAUUCUAUUCUUGCAAUAAUCUUGAGAUAACUAUUUAGAAUAGAAGCAAAACAAAAUGGUUCCCCAUGACUUACAGAUACUUUAGUUCAGACGAUCAACGAAAACAAGAAGUUGUAUAAAGUAUUGCGAAAGCAGGUGACCGACAACAAAGACGAGACUAGCAAACUAUCUUCUACAAUUAACCUUUUGAAAACAAAUUUACAGUCGCAAAAGGCUGAGUUUAAUAGGCAAAUUUCAGUACUACGAAAACAUUAUGAAAAAAUACCAACAUUCACUGCUACCUUAAGCAAUCAUGGAUAUAUGCCAUUGGCCCGUGGACAGAUAUUGAAAUUCGAUAAAGUUCAUUUCAACAAUGGCGGCGGAUAUGACCCGACCACGGGAUACUUUACUGCUAAGAAGACCGGAAUUUACUUAAUGGCAUGCACGGUCCGUGCUACAGGUAACCAUUUACAUGUAACACUUUGGCGAAAUAGUCAACGAAUUAUGCUUUCUUAUGGAGUAAAUUGGAACACGGGGAGCUUUAGUAUUGCCGUUGAUGUAACAAUGGGCGAUAAACUUUAUAUCAAACACGAAGAUAGGGACAACGAAGUUGUUCAAGGUGGACCAACAUCAUUCUUUUCUGCUGUAUUUAUAUCUGGAUAAUAAAGAUUUAGCCUUUGAUAACACAA
Long non-coding RNA from Mytilus californianus (California mussel), 817 nucleotides. RefSeq lists it as uncharacterized. The transcript is spliced from 2 exons. NCBI's taxonomy places the organism in Eukaryota, Metazoa, Mollusca, Bivalvia, Mytilida, Mytilidae. The record is from RefSeq and is a predicted model, not a curated record.